UCGUCUAAACUCAAAGGAAUAGACGGGGGCCCGCACAAGCGGUGGAGCAUGUGGUUUAAUUCGAAGCAACGGGAAGAACCUUACCAGGUCUUGACAUCCUCUGACAAUCCUUUAGAUAGGACGUCCCCUUCGGGGGCAGAGUGACAGGUGGUACAUGGUUGUUGUCAGCUCGUGUAGUGAGAUGUUGGGUUAAGUCCCGCAACGAGCGCAACCCUUGAUGUUAGUUGCCACCAUUCAGUUGGGCACUCUAAGGUGACUGCUGGUGACAAACCGGAGGAAGGUGGGGAUGAUGUCAAAUCAUCAUGCCCCUUAUGACGUGGGCUACCCACGUCUGCAAUGGACAGAACCAAGGGCAGUGAAACCGCGAGGUUAAGCCAAUCCCACAAAUCUGUUAUCAGUUUGGAACGCGGUACACAACUCGAAUGCGAGAAGCUGGAAGCGCUAGUAAUCGUGGAACAACAGUUCCAUCCAAAUC
Molecule: ribosomal RNA, 475 nt
Filed under: Bacillus subtilis
Lineage: Bacteria; Bacillati; Bacillota; Bacilli; Caryophanales; Bacillaceae
Description: bacterial SSU rRNA
Rfam family: Bacterial small subunit ribosomal RNA
Source: RNAcentral